RNAcentral lists this long non-coding RNA (455 nucleotides) under Brachypodium distachyon (stiff brome). RNAcentral's name for it is "long non-coding RNA (BDIS_LNC002654)". The record is from RNAcentral. Lineage: Eukaryota; Viridiplantae; Streptophyta; Magnoliopsida; Poales; Poaceae.
UGGUUAGGGAUUUUAGGCUUUCAUCCGUUGAAAAAGAAAAGAAUUCAAAAUAAGAUCCCAUUGGUAAUGGGCCGGACUCCCACGUAACCUAGCUCGUUAAAGAGGCUAAAAAAAUGUUAGCUCGCUCAGGAUACAAUGAUCGGCUGGGCUGGUAAAAAUGGACCGCAUGGCUGUAGCGCUGCUGGGCUCCGCCAGCGAGUAGCGGGGAAGGCGUAUAGACGCUUAUCAACCGGUUGGGCCCAUGAAGAAUUGAAGAGUCUCAACUGCUCAUCCAUCCAUGUCUUCAGUUCUCAAAAAAAUUAAAAUCCAUCCACGUCUUCAGAAAAAAAGAAAAACUCCAGAUGGGAAAGAAUACGGCGAGACCGGCCCGCCAAACCGCGUUCACUCUCACCGCCUACUACUACGUGCCAGCAGGUGGGGAGAACCAAGUGGGGAGCGAAGCGUACGACUUGGAC